Bicyclus anynana (squinting bush brown) is the source of this 382-nucleotide long non-coding RNA. RefSeq lists it as uncharacterized. The transcript is spliced from 4 exons. The record is from RefSeq and is a predicted model, not a curated record. NCBI's taxonomy places the organism in Eukaryota, Metazoa, Arthropoda, Insecta, Lepidoptera, Nymphalidae.
CGCAGUGCGACUGGCGGACAUAACGGGCCGGUGCGCCGACGGAUGCGUACGUGUCGUGUGUUGCCGCGGGUGCCAACUUUAUCGUUUGUGUUUACGAAAAAACUGUGUUUUGCCUUGUGUUUGUGAUACUUUACCUUCCAGGAUCUACAAUAACAGUUUUGUGUUGCUGUGUGGAAUACGUAAAUUUGGAAUCUGCUGUCCAGUCGAUCGCCCCAGGAGCUGACGGCGACCUCCAGCAUCGCUUGCACAAGAUGAGGCCGUAGUGACGUAGCAUGGGCCAGGCGGGCAGCCAGCCGGGCGCCGAGCAGCGCGCGCGCCGCGCACACACCCUGCCGCACGAGCCGCUGCGACACGCGCCCAAGGUAUGCAUCUACACACGACA